This 467-nucleotide ribosomal RNA is filed under the name uncultured bacterium. Its description in RNAcentral is "partial 16S rRNA". The record is from RNAcentral.
GCACGGAGUUAGCCGGUGCUUCUUCCUGUGGUUAAGUCAGUGUUCUUCCCACAUGAAAGGGGUUUACAACCCGAAGGCCUUCAUCCCCCACGCGGCGUCGCUGCGUCAGGCUUUCGCCCAUUGCGCAAUAUUCCCUACUGCUGCCAUCCGUAGAUGUCGGGGCCGUGUCUCAGUCCCCGUGUGGCCGGUCGACCUCUCAGUCCGGCUACCCGUCAUAGCCUUGGUGGGCCGUUACCCCGCCAACUAGCUGAUAGGCCAUGAAGCGCUCCUUCCGCGUCUUGCGACUUUCAUCCCCCCCCUAUGCAGGAGGGGGACCGUAUCCGGUAUUAGCUCCGCUUUCGCGGGGUUAUCCCGAACGGAGGGGUACGUUCUUCAUGUCAUACGCACCCUUUCGCCGCUGUACUCCGGGUAUUGCUACCCGUUUCUCGCUCGACUUGCAUGUAUUAGGCACGCCGCCAACGUUCGUU